AAAACCUAAAUCAGGAUGGCCGGACGCGGGAUUGAACCGUCGUCCUCCCGAAUGCGAGUCCUGUGUGCUAACCACUGCGCCACCUCGCUCGGUUCUACUGGGCUGCGAAAGGCGAUUGUGGCGUUCGUGUUCAACGCACCUUUUGAAAUUGUUUGUUGGUACUUGAUUGAAUAAAUUUACAAAUAAAUGAAAUGCUUACCCUUCUGUUCUAUAAUAUUUUAUUUUGUGUUACUGCAGACAUUUUAGAGCGUAAUAUAUUUCCUUCCACUACUGACACUCUCGUUGUUUUCCCGGCAUAUAAGUGACUGUUGAAUUCAGAAUGUGGUCGAUAACGCUACACAGUGUCUUAAUUUUUUCGAAGAGUUUGUUAAUUUAGUUUACAAUUGACAACAGACCCAGUAAGGCAGAGCGAAUAAAUCUAUCUAAAUACGGAACCAGUUGUAUGUAUGUUAAUGUAAUACGGAAUGUACUUACUGUACUGUUUUAAUAUUAGUAAAUAGUAUAGCCAAUUUAUUGGAAAAUGAGGAUUCGCUAUUGGCUGACGUUGCAUCCAUAUACGGUUGGGUUUAACAAUGAGAAUAUCGGUGAUGUACUGGAGAUGAUAAGCAACCAGUAUAAAACGCGACAUAAUGUUUCUCAGUUGUUAAUCGUCUGUUACGGACGUCAACUCUCCUUUGAAUGCUGCAUCAUGAGGUCGUAGCCAGUGGUGGCUAGUGAUCAUGUACUACUGUACUACAGCGCUUUGUAAGUAUCGUACGAAAAUUUUGCCACUUAUCUUCGAAUGCAAGCCAUAAAUUGCAGUAAAAUUACGUCACUUCUCUUCGAUUGUGAACCGGAAAUGGCAGUAAAAUUUCAUCUUUUCUCCUCGAUUGUAAGUCGGAAAUCGCAGUAAAAUUGCAUCAAUUCUUUCCCAACGCGUGUUGGUAUGUAAAUAAAACGGAGUAAAAUGCGUUUUGGAUAUUAAUCCUGAUAUUAACAACGUAGGCUAAUGACAUCAAAAACUGGAAUGUGUCACACAGUGUAAUAUGUGAAAGUAGCAAGUCAUGUAUCAAUGACACAACGAAUGAAACUUACAUAAUAUAUGUAGGUGUACGGGAUGGGGGCAUUGAAUUUAUCCUAUAGUGCAACAAAAUUCAAGACAACUCAGCUUAUAUACGAACCUGUUUAUGACAGAUAAGAAAUCAGAAAGCUAGAAAUCAUGUUUAUAUUAUUGACAAAAUUUCAUAUAAUCAGUUUACCACAAUAAUCAAAUGCGUAUUGGCACAAAAUUAAUUGCUCCUUCCGUAAAAGGAGAUAAAGAUGCUUACUUUUUUUGAGAAUUAACUGUGUUAUUCUUGUUUAAAAGUCCUUCGUUACUUACUGGGUGUAAAUGACGUUUUCCAAGUGGCGUUAUUAAUAAUAAUGAAAAAAAAGGUCACUCCGAAAAGGCAAUAGGAAAGGGAAUUAGAGCAACAUUAGCCUAACUGAUCGCUGCACAAAUGUUAUAAACUUCCGCGAAAAUUUAACUUCUAAUGUCAAAGGUGAAUCGCGGCCACUUUGGGAGAACGUUACGUCCGACCGAUGGUUUCAAGCAAGGAGGUAUAUAAACUACAUACAGUGGCUAUCUGUGAGGUAACAGCGCUCCCAGCGGCAGCAAAAAGCAACACCGGCCGCAAUUUUUUGAAACGUCUACCUGUCAGUAUAUUUAUUAUUUACAUUUGGUGUAUAGUACUGGCGUUAGAAAAUCACUGUUCUCCGGUUGUAAUUUGUUUUAAAAGUCUUACUGACCGAUUGCGAAUCAUGCCCAGUGUAUGUGCAGCGUACAAUUGCGCUAAUAGAAGUGAUAAAACAACUGGAAUAUCAUAUUUCAGAUUUCCUCUGAAAAAGAAAGAGCUGUUAAGUCGGUGGGUAGCCAAUAUGAGGCGAGAUAAGUGGCAGCCAACUCAAUACAGUUACAUAUACUCGUUUCACCUUGAAGAUAGAUACAUGUAUAGUACAAACGAGAAAAGGCGACUUCUGGCAAACGCAGUACCGACAAUAUUUACGUUUGCGGACCAUCUGUAGAAAACAACUAUAGUAUAGAGACAACCAAGGAAAUGGCCUGUCAGCUUCCUUAUCAAAUGAACCAGGUGAAAGAGUGAAUCAGAAUGAUCGUACAGAUCAUUCUUAAUGUUUGUCUAGCCCCAAAAAAUUGAAACAGAAUUAUGAGGCACUACAGAAAAGGACUGAGAAGCCGAGGAAGCAAGCCGAACAUGGAAGGCAAAAUGUUUCAAGAAAGAAGAAUCAAAUUGUGACAUAUGAAACAGUGUUUGUAGGCCUAAAUAAGAGACUUCAAGACUGUGCUUCUGAAGUGAUAGGAUGUGACAAAAAUAGUGUUAUUCUGAAGCACUUUUUGCAAUGCAAAACAAAUGUUCAAUUCCUGAAUAUCCUAAAGAAAUAAGACAGUUUGCCCUUACGCUCAGUUUUUACUCCCUUCAAAGUUUUUAAUUAUUUGAGGAAGUCUGUUAAAUUACCCCAUCCUGCGCUGUCAAUUGGUCAUUUUUUGACCUACUGAACUAUUUUAAUUGUUUUUGACCUAAUCUAUAUGGCAUAGCAGCAAAA
RNA transcript from Schistocerca piceifrons (Central American locust), 2580 nucleotides. It is a transcript of the gene named guided entry of tail-anchored proteins factor 1-like, with no coding region annotated. The record is from RefSeq and is a predicted model, not a curated record. NCBI's taxonomy places the organism in Eukaryota, Metazoa, Arthropoda, Insecta, Orthoptera, Acrididae. The transcript is spliced from 3 exons.